Molecule: long non-coding RNA, 255 nt
Filed under: Lepisosteus oculatus (spotted gar)
Lineage: Eukaryota; Metazoa; Chordata; Actinopteri; Semionotiformes; Lepisosteidae
Description: lncRNA (ENSLOCG00000022130.1)
Source: RNAcentral
CUUUAAGGCAGCAGUGCACAGCAGGUAACCUGGAAGGCCUGAGCAGUUGAAAGAGCACGGGUUCAGGAAGUUGGGCAAACCUUCAUCAGGACAGAGUUGCGUGGUUUGAAUUAAUGGGCAUUACUGGGGGAACGUGCCUUGCGGAGAGAACAACAGCCUGGCCUGUGUGGACCGCCAGCACCUGUUCAAGGAAUGAGCUGGGGAGCUGCAGCAAGGGUGAAGAUCCAGUCACAUCCUCCCACUACCUUCGUCCUC